UAUGGCGUUGUCCAAACAAUGCUGAGGCAAAUUUUCCAUAAUCAAUCGAUGAAGAAUUAUUAUUACAAACGUAACAGGAAUUGCAGGUUUAAUACUAGGUGCAGUUAGAAUGAGCAUUCUAUGUUUAUUGUCUACUACAGCACGUAUUUCAUCGCUGUCUAUAGUUUCCGGUAUAAGUAAGUUUUCUCGAUGUUUAAUAAUCAAUUUUGUUAAAUCGUUAGAUACCGAUUUUUCAAUAAUAUCCGAUAAAUCUUUCCUUAGACGUCUUAGAACGCUCACUCGAAGGUUAUUACCCUUAACAGUUAUUUUCGUGGAGGACAUGUCAACUUCCGGUGCUAGUAACAUCUUAGCCUUCGUAAACGAUGAAUACACGAUGUGAUUAAUAAUUUAAAGAAUUAUAUAUUUACAAUUUAUAUAUAUAUAUAAUUAGGUUAUAAAAUCUAAGGCUUCCUACUAUAUCAUCGAUCAUUUUUUUUUAACCCUCCCUCAAGAAAAAAAAAUGGUUGAUUAAUUUUUUAUCUUAUAAGGUCACUGCUUCGUAUAAGCCAUUAUAAGGGAAAAAUUAAUGAGCUUCCAACCUUUUGAUGGUUUGAUGACUUUUUUUAUAAUACGUGUUAUAAAAAAAUAUUUAUAUAAAAUAAUUUAUCGAUCUCGCGAUGCAUAACAAUGUUGGAAAUGAACAAAAUUUUGUUCUUUCUUAUAUUUUUGAAUGUUUUUCUUGUGUUAUAAAUAUUAGUAUUACAAUUUUUUUGGUAUGUACAUACCUCGUAAAAAUUGUCAGGUCGAAUACCUAUGGAAACUAUUUGCACAAUGUAACUGUUAUCCAAUGAUUUGGUUAAUGAUAUUUUGGUAGAAUCAGUUAUUCUUUUAUCGUGUAAUUUUGGACAGUAAAUGCUACCUGUCUCAUGAUCACCAUGA
This is a long non-coding RNA of Polistes canadensis, 918 nucleotides long. RefSeq lists it as uncharacterized. The record is from RefSeq and is a predicted model, not a curated record. NCBI's taxonomy places the organism in Eukaryota, Metazoa, Arthropoda, Insecta, Hymenoptera, Vespidae. The transcript has 2 exons.